UAGUUGGUGAGGUAAUGGCUCACCAAGGCAAUGACGCCUAACUGGUUUGAGAGGAUGAUCAGUCACACUGGAACUGAGACACGGUCCAGACUCCUACGGGAGGCAGCAGUGGGGAAUAUUGCACAAUGGAGGAAACUCUGAUGCAGCAACGCCGCGUGGAGGAUGACACUUUUCGGAGCGUAAACUCCUUUUAUAUAGGAAGAUAAUGACGGUACUAUAUGAAUAAGCACCGGCUAACUCCGUGCCAGCAGCCGCGGUAAUACGGAGGGUGCAAGCGUUACUCGGAAUCACUGGGCGUAAAGAGCGUGUAGGCGGGUUAAUAAGUUGGAAGUGAAAUCCUAUAGCUCAACUAUAGAACUGCUUUCAAAACUGUUAACCUAGAAUAUGGGAGAGGUAGAUGGAAUUUCUGGUGUAGGGGGUAAAAAUCCGUAGAGAUCAGAAGGAAUACCGAUUGCGAAGGCGAUCUACUGGAACAUUAUUGACGCUGAGACGCGAAAGCGUGGGGAGCAAACAGGAUUAGAUACCCUGGUAGUCCACGCCCUAAACGAUGUACACUAGUUGUUGCGAUGCUAGACAUUGCAGUAAUGCAGUUAGCACAUUAAGUGUACCGCCUGGGGAGUACGGUCGCAAGAUUAAAACUCAAAGGAAUAGACGGGGACCCGCACAAGCGGUGGAGCAUGUGGUUUAAUUCGACGAUACGCGAAGAACCUUACCUGGACUUGACAUUUACAGAAUUUUUCAGAGAUGAAUUAUGUCUGCUUGCAGAAACUGUAGGACAGGUGCUGCACGGCUGUCGUCAGCUCGUGUCGUGAGAUGUUGGGUUAAGUCCCGCAACGAGCGCAACCCACGUCGUUAGUUGCUAACAGUUCGGCUGAGAACUCUAACGAGACUGCCUGGGCAACCAGGAGGAAGGUGUGGACGACGUCAAGUCAUCAUGGCCCUUACGUCCAGGGCUACACACGUGCUACAAUGGGGCAUACAAAGAGCAGCGAUACCGCGAGGUGGAGCAAAUCUCAAAAAUGCCUCCCAGUUCGGAUAGUAGUCUGCAACUCGACUACUUGAAGUUGGAAUCGCUAGUAAUCGUAGAUCAGCAAUGCUACGGUGAAUACGUUCCCGGGUCUUGUACUCACCGCCCGUCACACCAUGGGAGUUGAACUCAUUCGAAGCGGGGAUGCUAAGAUAGCUACCCUCCACAGUGGAUUCAGCGACUGGGGUG
This 1216-nucleotide ribosomal RNA is filed under the name uncultured bacterium. RNAcentral describes it as "bacterial SSU rRNA". It matches the Rfam family "Bacterial small subunit ribosomal RNA", at positions 246 to 1482 of the family's 1533-position model. The record is from RNAcentral.